UACGUAGGGGGCAAGCGUUAUCCGGAUUUACUGGGUGUAAAGGGGGCGCAGACGGCGAUGCAAGCCAGGAGUGAAAGCCCGGGGCCCAACCCCGGGACUGCAUUUGGAACUGUGUAGCUGGAGUGUCGGAGAGGCAGGCGGAAUUCCUAGUGUAGCGGUGAAAUGCGUAGAUAUUAGGAGGAACACCAGUGGCGAAGGCGGCCUGCUGGACGAUGACUGACGUUGAGGCUCGAAAGCGUGGGGAGCAAACAGG
Molecule: ribosomal RNA, 253 nt
Filed under: uncultured bacterium
Lineage: Bacteria
Description: partial 16S ribosomal RNA
Rfam family: Bacterial small subunit ribosomal RNA
Source: RNAcentral